RNAcentral lists this long non-coding RNA (1803 nucleotides) under Bos indicus x Bos taurus (hybrid cattle). Its description in RNAcentral is "lncRNA (ENSBIXG00005022601.1)". Lineage: Eukaryota; Metazoa; Chordata; Mammalia; Artiodactyla; Bovidae. The record is from RNAcentral.
AGAUAGAUUAGGUUUAGUGUUAGAAUUUAGAUUAAACAAGCAGAGUCUGAUUUUCAAAACCAAAAACCAAAACCAACAUAGCACCCUAGAACUCUGGGAGCAAACACCCUGGAGCCAGGCUGAGCACACAGGGCAGCCACGUGGGGGUCUCCACCACCCAAGGAACCCUGGCUCCUCAGGAGGGGCCACAAAACAGGCCCUCAAUAAGUAUUUAUAGAACAAAUGAGUGAAUGAAUUUCGCUUGAAUUAAACAUGACUCGUCCACGCCUGGCAUAAUUCCUUUUCAUUCCAGUGAACGGAAGCCCGGCUGAGAGCAGGGAAGUUCCCUGAGCUGCCCAGCUGCCUAGGGGCUUUUCCGGCCUGGGCCAAGGCAGGAGGAAGCCCCAACUAACUCAUAGUCACUCCUCAGAAUACUUUUAUUAAAGGGGAAAAAAUCACCAAUGAUGAUAUCCAGUGACAAGCUUCUGCCACCCACACAUUCCACGUUCCACCUGGCCAUGAGCUGGUUUCAGUCUCAGGGCACAAGCAACACAAGUCAGAAUUUUUUUUUUUUUCUUUUAAUCUUUGGGGAAGAAACAGAAAAGGAGGAGAAAGCAGAGUAACAAGUGCAGAUUAAAUAUGAGGCAGGUCCAGGCUUUUGAUACCACUGUGUUUAACUCACCAAAUAAUCAGAGCAUUAAAUGCAGGCAUAAUUUGUCAGCAAGCUCCCUCCAUUGUUCCCUGAAGCAUGCGGGGUUGGGGGGGGGGUGUGGGCUAAUUCAAUUCACGUGGGAAUCGGUGUUUACAUCCACGAGUCCUAAUGGAAGGGCACACCAUUUUCAAACUGGAACAAAUAAAUCAUAAUGCCCUUUGCCACUAAAACCGGGGACCUUGCGAUGCCUCUCUCUUGGUGGACGAGCUACAUUUGGAAGGACGUUUUCUUCAGUGUGGAAAUCUCCACUUGCUGGCUACUGCAGCAAGUCCCAGAAGGCCCCUCGGAUCUUUGAGGUUGUCAUCUUCCUUUGCAAGUUUAGUCCUAAACCCGCUGACAACAAUCCAGUCUUCAGGAUGGAGGGCUGUCGGGAGCCCAGGGUAUCCUUGGUCAGACCGUGAGGCAUGUGAUACGGAGCCACGGAGGGCGGCAGAGUCCUUCUCAGAGAUCCGUCCACGCCACCAGCCCCAGGUCGACCGGAGGGUGUGUGGAAGCAGGAAAUUCAGGGGCUACAGUGAAACCCCGACUCUAGCUUCUCUGUUGCCAGUGAGUGACAGCUGGAUGUCAGGGGACUCACAAAUGUGGACUCAUACAAGGUUGGCAAAAGCGACAGGCUCAGAGGAACUGGCCCCAACUCAAACUAGGGUGCCCCCCCACUCUUGGCUCCCCCAAACCCGCAAGCCCUCACUUACCCGGCAGAAGCCUACUGCUCCCCUCCAAAAGCAGAGACAGCCGUGGAUUUUAAGACCUGAGAUGAUGCAUCACUGUGGCUGUAACACUGGACUGAAUCUUGUUCUGUGUUCUAUGUAUCAUAUUCUCUGAGAUAAAAAGGCAUUUCAGAGCAAAACAAAACACCAAACACAAGUUAAGAGCCACUGGAGUUACAUACGCAGGGAAGAGCAAAGGCCUCCAAGAAGGUGUGGUCAAAUGAACAGGAAGCUUUCCAAAGAACAGGGGCAAAUUCAGAAGAACGGGUAAGUUCAGAAGCUGGUGGUCCAGGUGAAUGUGGACCCCAAGGUCCAGUUCUGGGUUUUGCUUUGAGCUGCAAGCGUCAUCACUUUGUUCAAAACCCCCAGAGUUUUAUGUUUAUAAUAAAUGUAUUGCCUUGAUCA